Molecule: long non-coding RNA, 821 nt
Organism: Sceloporus undulatus (fence lizard)
Lineage: Eukaryota; Metazoa; Chordata; Lepidosauria; Squamata; Phrynosomatidae
Exons: 4
Source: RefSeq, a predicted model, not a curated record
AAGCCAGUGGAGCUUUGAAAGCUUGCAACAAGCAUAUUGUGCAUUUCGGUUGGCUAAUAAAGGCUUUACCACACUGAAUCCACUGAUCAACAGUGACUACUUGUCCUGGAUAAUGGUUGCUUUGAAGCUAGAGUACCAGCCCUGAGACAGGAUCCUUAGAGUAAAAGAGCAAGGCUGGGACAUAAUGACAGACUACAUGCUUCCAAUUGCCUUCUCAUGGGUUCGCCAGAGGAAAAGAAGGAACCAGAAAUGUUGGCCAUGCUUUGCUCCAGUUAUGCCUGGGAACCAAGCCAGCUAAUUCCCAAUGUCGGACAUGGAAGGAAAGGCAGCAUAGCCUGACUCGUAGGAACACUAAGAUUCAAAGAAAGCCAGAAGAGGACACAGCUCCACCCCCCACCCCAUAUAUUUACGUUGGGAGAGACCUUGCUUUAUGUAUAUUGUUCUGUCUGGUUGUUUGCUUCCAGGAGACUUCCCAGCUAGGGAUCAUAUUUUGAGUUAUUUUUGUUUCACAAUGAUUGACUGAUUGCUUGACUUGAUAUAUAGUCGGCCCUCCAGAUCCAUGGAGAUGAUGGACAGCUGGUAAAUCCUUUUUUUUUUGGGGGGGGGGGACCAAAAAAUAAACCUUGAUUUUGCCAUUUUAUAUAAGAUACACCAUUUUACUACACCAUUGUAUUUAAUGGGACUUCAGCAUCCAUGGAUUUUGGCAUCCAAACCCUAGCAGAUACUAAGAACCCACUGUAUUUGGUUUAUAUGGCACAUUUCUUUAAAAACUGGAUUUGAGAAGGCUUGCAACAAGUUUUAAAAUGAGGUACAAAUAAAAG